This is a long non-coding RNA of Corvus hawaiiensis (hawaiian crow), 3998 nucleotides long. RefSeq lists it as uncharacterized. The record is from RefSeq and is a predicted model, not a curated record. NCBI's taxonomy places the organism in Eukaryota, Metazoa, Chordata, Aves, Passeriformes, Corvidae. The transcript has 3 exons.
CAACCAGGAUUCUAAUGAAAACAACACACGGAAGACCUCAGGAUAAGCCCCAGUGUCUGCUGUAGAGUACAUAGCUCUGGUCUGAGUCCUAAAGCAAACACAGAUGCAUCUAAAACAACCAUCAAAGGAAAAAAAAAGUGAGGCAAGAAGGAAAGCCUGAUCCUCAAGGAGAAGAGAUUGGGCAGCAGAUAUGAUCAGCCUGCCAUCCAUCAACCAACUGAGGGAGACUAAGGAUUAGUGAUCAACCCACAGAUGGACAGUUGUUCCUUGAACCAUCAACAUUUUUCAUCUUUUGUGCAGCAAGAUGCUUUGGCAGAUCCCAGUUUUACCUCCCCAAGCAAAGGACGUGGGUGCAUGCUAAAGCAAGGGGUUGAAGCAGCCUGUCCUGUGGGGACAGGGAUGUGCUUACAGUCACAGCCAGGGUGACCUGGACAAUGCCCUGGAGAAUGAGGUGAAUCAAGAAAUUAGACUUCAAUACCGACAAAAUUAAUGGAGAAGGGAAUAUUUUUUAACCGUUCAUUCAUGACAACACAGUGCUUUUUAAUGGAUGGGUCUCCCCCUGAACACAGUUCCCAGGAAACAGCCAAAUGAACUCAGUGCUUGGAAAGAGAGGGGAGAACACUGAUGAACAUCUGAUCUCACAUAGGGACUGGCUAAAACUUUUUUCCAAUGGAGAAAACAAUGAACUGUAAAGAACAUAAAAUAAGCUGCAGAUGAUCAAAUCUGGAAUAUUUCACAUUAUAUGUAGGAGAAAAGGUUUGCUAAAGGAUUUAACCUUUCCUUAGUAUCCUGUCCUACCUACUUACUUUCUCUAUUUCCUUCGGAUUUCAUAAUCUUGAUAAUUUCCUAUUUUGGAUGCAAAGAAAGAAAUAAUAGUCACUUAGGGAAAACUGUAUCAAACAUGGGAGAGGAUUUUUUUCACUUCUGCUGCUUAAUAACUUUAGGAAUGUGGGUAAAACUAUUUCUUUCUCUACUUCUGUUGCAUUUUGACACAUGUAGAUUGCAGAGCUCCAUUCGCCCUGUUCCCCAGCAUCUUUUUAAACUGCAUGAACUUAAGGCAAGCUUUAUUUUGAGACACCCCCAAAACAGUGUUGUAUACUGACUGGCAUGGGAUUAGGUCAUGCUUUGAACAGCUCUUGAGACCCUCAAGCCAGAGUAAUACCACAAAUCUGAAGCAUCACCAGUCAGUUACCCUUCCUAAUCCUGCUGUGAGUGUGGGAUUUGGAAGACUUGCGCAGAAAAAACCUUUGAGCAUCCAAAAGCAGCAUGUAGGAAGGAAAGGAAGAGCAGGAACCCAUACAAAGGUAGAAAAGAGAAAAAGAAGCUGAUAUUUCUUAAAGACAACCAAAAAACCUUUCUUCAGAGGGUAUCCAAGAGAAAGGCACCCAAGGAGGCACUGGGCAGGAUAGGAGCAAGCCACAGACUGCCUCCUUUCUGUCAGAGGCAGCAGGGCCUGGAAGGAAAGGGAGCCCCUCAUAGCAUGCUUGGAAGUUAAACCCAUAGGAUUAAUUCCCACCCAUGUAAGAACCAGCUCCCUCUCUCUCCUUGCAUAACUGUAGGGAGUUUUUCUAUCAGAAAUACAUACUAAUCCUCAAUAUUGCUAGUCAAAGGAUGGUCUUAGAGUAAGGAAAGAGCUCAAAUUAAACUCGGCUCCCAGCCUAAGCCAAACCUUGGUGCAGAGGGACUGCAUCCACUGGAUGCCACUGCUCAGCCUAACUCCUGGGGACCACCCCCUGUAAUCUCCUCAGAGCAAACUCAAAGCUUUAUCCCUGUCCCACAUGGCUGUGGCCCACCAGCACCCACUGACGGCCCCAAAUGCUUCUCACAGACAAAAAGGGGAAGGCUCUUGCGUUCCCCUCCCCACAGAUCUUUAGUGGCAGUGGCAGAGUGGGAGCCACAGGGAAACAUUCAGUGUGUGCCUUCAAAGUGAAGUGUACAGUUGCUGGGUAAUUCAGUAACUCUUGGCCUGAUUCCUGACAAAUGUGAUCUGGCCAAGACCUUCCAUGGUGGUAACAAUAUGUUAAUGAAAGAAUUAUAUCAACAGCUCUCAGGUUGUCUCCUUUAUUUAUAGUAGAAUCUGGUAAUAGACACAAUUACAGUAGAUUAACUUUGGCAUAGCUUCAGCAUGAAAACAACAUACCAAGGCCAAAUUUUACUCCAAUAUAUCUAUUGCCCUGCCUGUGUUUCUAUUUAUUUUGCUUGGACUGACAAACUUUAAUUCAAAGAACAUAAUUACAGCAUAACUUGCUGCUAGGUUUUUUCAAGGCUAUAGUAUUCAUUUGAAGGGAAAGUAAGUUUACUUCUCAUUGAGUUUAACUAUGAAGGUUAAUUUUCUUUGAGUUAAAGGAGUUCGGUUUUUGACUUGAUUUCUAUGCAUUUGGGGCAACCAGCACAGCUGUGAAAACAUAAUUGUUCUUAAAAAUUUCGGGAUGCUCAUCCUCAUUUUCAAAAUUGCUCGCUCUUUUGUGUGCUUUCCUAAUUUCAGCUUGCUGAAGCGGCCGCUGAUUAGCAACCACAGGUGCAAUCCUUCUGGACUGUUCGCUACCUCCAGCUCGAGCAUUUCCAACCACAUUCUGCAUUGCAGAAAAUAGCCUAAUUAGAGGCAAAAAGCUGAUCUGUUAAAAUAGCAGAGGGACCAGCUAGAGAAGCAGGGAGUUAUUUGCCCCAUCAGAGUCAAGGGGAAAUUUACCCUUACAUCAGCAGGGAGAGGGAGCAGGGAGAUGCAGAGGACGUGCAGCUCUGUGGACCCACGGUGUCAGGAGUGAAAGAUUGGCAGUAAUCUGUUAUUUAUGAGCCAUUACUAUAACUAAUAAUUGUACAGCAGCAGCAUCCCCAGGACCUCACCCCUCUGCAGCCUUGGGACAGGACAGAGGCUUUUCUCUAUGAAUACACAGGGGUGAAUUGAUGCCCCCGUGCGGGUGUUGAGGCUUUGGGGGACACACCAGUGAGGCACAGGGCAGUGUCCAGAGCUGUGGCUGUAAUGAGCACAUAAAUCAUCCCUAACGACCCCUGAGCCAGCCAGCCUGUGUGGGGGACAGCGAGCUGGCCCAUGCCGCUGUGGCUGCUGGAGAAAGGCUUCGGGUUGCAAUGAGCACAAACGGCUCUUUCACACGUCUCAGCAGAUGUUACUCAUUUUCUCCUCAUCUGACUUUAAGAUUUGGCUCCAUUCUUUCCCUGUUCCCAAAGCCCAUCAGUUGUCCUAGAAACCUUUCCCGGCUCGUCCAUGGGCAGUGGGCUAUCCUGGUGUUCAGCAGGGGCCGGCCCAUCGGGCCGGCCCAUCUGCAGGCAUCCAACUCCUCCGAGUUCUCAUCCGGAUUGCUUCUGUCUUCCCUGCUGAACCUCGCCUCAUCCACUGGCCAUUUCCGCUGCUCCACUGCGCAUGGUGUUAUUCAUCAAGGUGCUUGUCCUCCUGCACAGCCACGAGCUCUCCAACAUACUUAAGGACAUUUGCAAAAUUUGGAUGGAGGAUAGGAAUAGCAAGUGGGACCAGAUGUUCACUGGGAAAGACUAACACUGCAUCUCUGUAACACAGUGUCCAAGGCUCACCCCUGGACCACAGGAGGAUGAAGAGCAGCCAGCAGGGACAGUGCAGCUGGUCCUGCAAUGGAGAUGCACAAGGGCAUCAUCUGCACAGCCCUGACAGCCACGCAGCUUUGCCUGAACAGUCAUCCAGUACUAAAGCCCACAAGGAAUUAUUCUCACACUUACAACCAGAUGCUGCAAUCAACCGCACUCAGAGAAUAGGGGGAAGGAUCCAACUCAUCUCUCAGUUUGGCUUUCCUCAGGCCAAGGACACUGGAGCCACUUCACACUCUGGGUGACACUGGCCAUGCUGGAGCAGCACCAAGGAUGCCAAAGAAGGAGCUGCCCACCUGUCUCCUACAGAAAGAGGGAGCUCACUGAGCCAGUUUGCUCUUACUUAGGGACUCCACCAGCAGCCAAACCCAUUUAGUCCUAUCCCUUCCUUGCUUAUUAAAUAUUUGACUAUUAACUCUCAA